This is a long non-coding RNA of Echinops telfairi (small Madagascar hedgehog), 639 nucleotides long. RefSeq lists it as uncharacterized. Lineage: Eukaryota; Metazoa; Chordata; Mammalia; Afrosoricida; Tenrecidae. The record is from RefSeq and is a predicted model, not a curated record. The transcript has 2 exons.
GUCUUGGAUCCAGCUGGCCUGUCUUCUUCCACCCUCUGGCUGACCUUGUGGGCCUCACCCGCAUUUUUCCGGGUUUUGCUCACUCUGCUGCCCCACCCCCACUAGGGUGAGUGAGCAACCUCUCUUCUCCCCCUCCCCAUGCUCUUUCCACCUGGAGCCAGAGCUGGAAGGGACUGGGGAUUUCAUUUCAGCCCGGGCAGCUCACCUUAAAGGCCAGCUCCCUCAGCUCCACUGGUCCCUGAGGAAAGAAGCUCCCCUUGGCCUGCCUCUCUGUCUGGCUGCUGCCCAUGUGAUCAAAGCUCCACAGCACAAGUACUGGGAGGCACCCCUUGCCAGCAAGCUUCCUGCCAGAGGUCUGACCCCCCACUGUGGGGCCAGGAAUCCCACCACACCACCUGGGUCCGUCCGGGGUUCCUGUUCUGCAGCUACCAUUUCUGUCUGUACUCACUUCUCUCUGUCUGGAUCCAUCUCUGUGCUACAGGUGUGGCUCUGGGGUCUAGAUGGUUCUCAGCACAAGGACCCCAGGUUCAAAGGACACACCCCACUCUUGGCCCUUCUUUCUUAGUGAAAGGUCCCCUCUUGCAUCUGGAAUUGGUUUCCUUUAAGCUUAGCAGCAUGGCAAAAUCGACUGAUUCCCUC